UACAGAGGUCCCAAGCGUUGUUCGGAUUCAUUGGGCGUAAAGGGUGCGUAGGCGGCGCGGUAAGUCGGGUGUGAAAUCUCGGGGCUUAACUCCGAAACUGCAUUCGAUACUGCCGUGCUUGAGGACUGGAGAGGAGACUGGAAUUUACGGUGUAGCGGUGAAAUGCGUAGAUAUCCGGAGGAACACCGGUGGCGAAGGCGGCUUCCUGGACCGACACUGACGCUGAGGCGCGAAAGCUAGGGGAGCAAACGGG
This 253-nucleotide ribosomal RNA is filed under the name uncultured bacterium. RNAcentral describes it as "partial 16S ribosomal RNA". It matches the Rfam family "Bacterial small subunit ribosomal RNA", at positions 524 to 776 of the family's 1533-position model. The record is from RNAcentral.